CGCCGGGUGGCCGGCGGCGCGACGGUCCUCGACCCCGAGGUGGUCGGCCAGCUGCUGGUCCGGCGCCGGCGCGACGA
RNAcentral lists this transfer RNA (77 nucleotides) under Actinoplanes sp. NBRC 14428. RNAcentral describes it as "tRNA-Leu". Lineage: Bacteria; Bacillati; Actinomycetota; Actinomycetes; Micromonosporales; Micromonosporaceae. The record is from RNAcentral.